Molecule: long non-coding RNA, 217 nt
Filed under: Elaeis guineensis (African oil palm)
Lineage: Eukaryota; Viridiplantae; Streptophyta; Magnoliopsida; Arecales; Arecaceae
Description: long non-coding RNA (EGUI_LNC074362)
Source: RNAcentral
UUGCAUCAAAAUGACUCAUAUCUUAAUUUGUCAGAUGCCGAAGUCCUUCACAUCAUUGAACUUCUUGAUUUUGAAUUUUACAGUUGUCAUUGCCUCGAAAAGAUCAAGACUCUAAUACCACUUAUUGCGACAGGUGAGAAAAAUAACAAAAUAAGAUGAAAAAAAAAGAGUAUCAAGAUUUUUGUGGUUCAGUCUAUUGACCUACAUAUACAGAUAG